Myodes glareolus (Bank vole) is the source of this 231-nucleotide non-coding RNA. The record is from RefSeq and is a predicted model, not a curated record. NCBI's taxonomy places the organism in Eukaryota, Metazoa, Chordata, Mammalia, Rodentia, Cricetidae.
GAAGCUGAUAAGAUCCCCUCCAGAAAUGAGGUUGAUCAGAAUGACUAGAUCUCAAGGCCAUGGUCAGGCCUUGAAGUAGGAGAGAGGACAAGAGACAGAAAUACCCGCAAGAGAAGUCAGUAUGUCUUUAGAUCAUCAAAUCAAAGUGCGUCUGGGAUGUCUGCGGGCAUUAGUCACAUCAGAGCAAAGGCCACCACUAUCUCUCAGCCUCUUCAUGGGACUACAAAUGCU